GACAAACGCUGGCGGCGUGCUUAACACAUGCAAGUCGAAUGGUAAGGCCCUUCGGGGUACACGAGUGGCGAACGGGUGAGUAACACGUGGGUGAUCUGCCCUGCACUUCGGGAUAAGCCUGGGAAACUGGGUCUAAUACCGGAUAGGACCCUGGGAUGCAUGUCCUGGGGUGGAAAGCUUUUGCGGUGUGGGAUGGGCCCGCGGCCUAUCAGCUUGUUGGUGGGGUGAUGGCCUACCAAGGCGACGACGGGUAGCCGGCCUGAGAGGGUGACCGGCCACACUGGGACUGAGAUACGGCCCAGACUCCUACGGGAGGCAGCAGUGGGGAAUAUUGCACAAUGGGCGCAAGCCUGAUGCAGCGACGCCGCGUGAGGGAUGACGGCCUUCGGGUUGUAAACCUCUUUCAGCACCGACGAAGCGCAAGUGACGGUAGGUGCAGAAGAAGGACCGGCCAACUACGUGCCAGCAGCCGCGGUAA
Molecule: ribosomal RNA, 478 nt
Filed under: uncultured bacterium
Lineage: Bacteria
Description: partial 16S ribosomal RNA
Rfam family: Bacterial small subunit ribosomal RNA
Source: RNAcentral